Molecule: long non-coding RNA, 2285 nt
Filed under: Glycine max (soybean)
Lineage: Eukaryota; Viridiplantae; Streptophyta; Magnoliopsida; Fabales; Fabaceae
Description: long non-coding RNA (GMAX_LNC003280)
Source: RNAcentral
UAGAGGAAAACCCUUCGCAUUGUAGCUUUUUAUUAUCCCGCAGAAACCCAAAACUGUCUCGGUAAAACUACGAUCCCGGUUUCGUUAACCGUUGGAUUUUCAUGAAAUUUGGAUAUGUUGCUCGAAAUUCAAUUUCGCACACUCUAACCGUUGGGAUUUGCGAGAUAAUAUUCGUAGUGGGAGAAAAAGGAAUCGCAUGGAGACAGUACAAGCGGAGUCUUCAAUCUCUUCUCCGUUUCUCUGACGUUUGAGAAUUCUAUCGGAGCAGUCGGAGGAAAAACUUGAGGAAUCUCAAGGAACCGCUAUAGAUGCCGCUAUCGUUGUCGGAAGACACGUGAGUCCGCUUAGAGGUAAGGGAUGAGUUAUUCACAAUUGGGAAAUAGUGAGAACAUGUAUAGGGAUUCUUAGAGAUAUCAAUUGGAAAAGGUUUUUGAGUGUUUUUGCAAUUUCAUUUUAUCCUUAUAAUUAUUACAGUGAAUUAUAUAUGUUUGACAAACCAAUUGUUGUGAAAUUGAUAUGCUAUUAUGUUGAGCAUGAACCCUAUAAAUUGAGUACUUUUUCUAAUUAAUAUGAAUUGAUGAAAUAAAAUAAGGAGAAAUUUAGAGAGAGAUAUUGAUUUUGUAUUUUCUCUUUUUCUUGUGCAUUGAAAGCUUACUUUGAAAUUUGUGAUUCAAUAUGAUGUAUGCCAGUUUAUAGAUAUAGAGGUAGCUAUUUAUAUUAAUAAUUUAUGUAAAUAAUAUUGUAGAGUGUUGUAGUAUGAUUCCAAAAAUUAUUAAGUGUUGGAGUUUGAGAAUAUUAUGGUUAAAUUUCAUGAACAUGUGUAUGUUGUACCUUAUGAAUAUCAUUGACAAUGUUAUGAGAUGGUUGAUGUGAUGUUAUGAGAUGUUAAAGUGUGAACAUGAUAUUCGAUUGUGAAUAAGUGGAUGUGUUAACACUUGAUGUUACAUUAAUUAUAUCGUGAGCUAUGAAUUAUACAAUAACUCGACCAGUGUUUAUGCGCAGUGUUAAAGAGAAAGUGUAGGUUCCUAGUUAGGAACCAGUGUUAAAUUGUAGCGCAAUUGUGUUAAACAUGUUUGAAACAUGAGUGUGAGGUCGUGGUAUUGUAUAAUUCAUGAGCAGUGCUUAUAAAUGAAAUAUGUGAUGAAUUGUGGAAUGAUAUGUUGCCUUGAGAUUAUAAUAUUGUUAUUGAGAUUGAGUAAAAGUGUAAAGUAGAACAGGUGUUGAAUUGUGAGAUAUGUGAAAACAUGUGAUGGUGGAUUGUAACAUUAUGAGAUGUGAAAUUGUGAAUGAGUUUUGGUUGUGAAUAAGUGUGUGAUUAACUCUUGAUGUGACAUUAUUUGUGUUGUAAGCUGUGAAUUGUACAAUAACCCGACCAGUGUUAUCUUGAGAAAAGUGUAAAUGCGCAGUGUUAAAGAGAAAUUGUAGGUUUCCUAUUUAGGAACCAGUGUUAAAGAGAAAGUGUAGGUUCCUAUUUAGGAACCAGUGUUAAAUUGUAGCGCAAUAUGUUGUACGUGCUUAAGACACGAGUGUGAGGUCGUGGGUAUUGUAUAAUUCACUAGCAGUGUCUGUGUGUUAAAAUGAUUUUAGGGGUUGGACCUGAAUCAGGAGGGAGAGGCCCUGACGGACUCUUCGGAGUGUAGGCCUUGGGGGUCACCGGGUUUGAGUGCUCCUUUAAGCCUAUGCUGAUCCCAUAUGGUUGGAGCAUUCUCGCAAAACAUCGUGACCCUGACUGGUCUCCCUAUGAUCUUACUUAGUGAGAGUGACCUGGCAAACCCAUUAUGUGGUGUGUCUUGUUAUGUACUCCUAAGCGCCCCAGGGUGGUUUUUCACUGACAUGGUACCACAUUGCAUAUAGGCUUGAGUCUUAGCAUAACUGUCUCAUGCGCUUGCUAAUUGUUUAUUAUGAAAUUGAUGUGUUAUUAUAUCUUGAUCAGAGAAUGUGAUUUUUGUGUAAUGUGAUUGAUGAUUGAAAAGUGUGAUUGAUGGAUGAAAAGUGAACUUUGAAUGACAAAGUGGUGGAAUUACGUGAAUUACGUGUAAGUAAAUUUUAUUUAGUGAUAUGUAUAUCUAGUUGUCUUGUUUCUCUAUUAGUUAGGAAUGUGAUAACUCACUCCCCCUGUGUUGUUUGUAUUUGGAUCAUGUGAUGAUCUUGAACUUUGUGUUCGGGGGAGCAGACGACUAGGUGAAUUGCUUUAAGGAACAUUAUGCUGAAGGACGUCGAGACACAACGCUCUGAUAGAAUGUGACAGUGGGACAUAAGUUUUUAUAUUAGUGGCAUGAUGUUAG